AGCUUAAAGAUUAUAUUUUAAGUAAAUUCUGCCCAGCGUUAUUUAUUAGCGGCCGCAGUACCUUGACUGUGCUAAGGUAGCAUAAUCAAUUGGCUUUUAAUUGAAGUCUGGAAUGAAAGGUUAAAUAAAGAAUUUACUGUCUCUUUUUGAUUUUUUUGAAUUUAUUUAUAAAGUGAAAAUACUUUUUUAAAGAAAAAAGACGAGAAGACCCUUAGAAUUUUUACUUAGUUUUUUUAUUAAAAAUAUUUUUUUGUUGGGGCGACACUGAAACAUAUUUAACUUUCAAGAUUUACAUGACAAAUUUUUUUAAAAGAUCAAAUUACCUAAGGGAUAACAGCAUAAUGAAUUAUUUAGUUUAUGACCUCGAUGUUGGACUAGGAACUAAAAGACUAACAGUCAAAAUAGAAUGUUCUGUUCGAACAAUUUUCUCCU
RNAcentral lists this ribosomal RNA (432 nucleotides) under Ampullaceana balthica. RNAcentral's name for it is "partial 16S ribosomal RNA". Lineage: Eukaryota; Metazoa; Mollusca; Gastropoda; Lymnaeidae. The record is from RNAcentral.